RNAcentral lists this vault RNA (96 nucleotides) under Nothobranchius furzeri (turquoise killifish). RNAcentral describes it as "Vault RNA (ENSNFUG00015000645.1)". It matches the Rfam family "Vault RNA". Rfam says of the family: This family of RNAs are found as part of the enigmatic vault ribonucleoprotein complex. The complex consists of a major vault protein (MVP), two minor vault proteins (VPARP and TEP1), and several small untranslated RNA molecules. Lineage: Eukaryota; Metazoa; Chordata; Actinopteri; Cyprinodontiformes; Nothobranchiidae. The record is from Rfam by way of RNAcentral.
GCAUCGGUUUAGCUCAGUGGUUACAUCUACACAAAGGCAACUAUUUCGAACUCUUCUGAGUGUGAAGUACGACCCCGGGCGCGGUCCGAUGUUUUU